CAAGAAGGUGCUGUUGUAAAAUGGAGAAUUGAGAAGCAUUAAUAGCCUCUACAACAAGGAGAUAAUGCAGGAACGAAGAACUCAUGUCAAGGAUUGACAGCAUACAAAGUCAAUGUUUCCGGUGAUUAGUUGCAUCCUCUGUUCGGUGAUUCGGGUGAAUGUUUUGACCAGUUGGACGAUGUGAACGCAAGAUAAAUAGAACAGACAUAAAGUACAGCCCAGUGAAAGGAACAAGUUCAUCGCAAGAAGAAGAAUUUUAAUGCUACCACUGUCCAGAACUACUGAGUCUGCUGUAACCAUGAUGUGAUCAUAUGAGUGCUUCACCGGUCUGGACAAUGCUCGAAAAUCCCCCAAAAAGGCAUAUUUCCAUAAACUACGACUCAGGUUACAUCAACAACAGCCAAGAACACCCCUUAUUGAUUCGAAUGGACACAUCUCUACGACCCGACUAAACCUCUGCAGAACAAGACUUUUUAACUGUAAAGUAUUCUCAUUUCAAAAAACCUAUAAACUAUAAAAGUACU
Magallana angulata is the source of this 524-nucleotide long non-coding RNA. RefSeq lists it as uncharacterized. NCBI's taxonomy places the organism in Eukaryota, Metazoa, Mollusca, Bivalvia, Ostreida, Ostreidae. The transcript has 3 exons. The record is from RefSeq and is a predicted model, not a curated record.